Molecule: RNA transcript, 948 nt
Organism: Orbicella faveolata
Lineage: Eukaryota; Metazoa; Cnidaria; Anthozoa; Scleractinia; Merulinidae
Gene name: RNA exonuclease 4-like
Source: RefSeq, a predicted model, not a curated record
UCCUUUAUUCCACGUCCUCUAUGAACUCAAAAUUUCGCUGUGCAAAAUAUUGCAGAUUCAGAGAGGAGAUUUCCAAGAUGGCGGACGAACGUGAAACUCAACGCUUAGAGCGUAAACGAAAGCACACCCGUAACUUGCAUUUAAAGGAUGCGAAAGGAAAGAGGACAAUUAAAUCCAGCAAAAGAAACCCGAAUGUGGAGAACCCACACACUAUUCAGCCUCAAUUGCCAAAAACCGCAACCGAAAUGUCGUCUAACUGGAAAUUGCUACAAGCGCUACUUGAAAAAGAAAAGCGGACCAAGAAAGAGAAAGGAGAAGUGAGACCCAGGAGUAAGAAGUUGUUCAAGAAAAGAUUGAAACGAGAUCAAACAGAACAAACAACAAGCUCAAGUGAAAUGUGGUUUGAUGAUGUUGAUCCUGAAGAUCUUGAAGAAGUUACAGGAAAAAGAAUCAAAACAUCCAAUGGAGUAGAGCCUAGUGAUGUACUGGUCACUGGCACUCUUGAAGGGCUAACAAAGAAGAUUGCCCUGGACUGUGAGAUGGUUGGGGUUGGGUUUGAUGGCAAGCGACACAUGUUGGCAAGAGUAUCCAUAGUAAACUCUCAUGGUCAUGUCGUCUAUGAUUCAUUCGUGGCACCACAGGAGAAGGUGGUUGAUUACCGCACUCCUGUCAGUGGAAUAAAACCUGUAAAUUUGAAAAAUGACAAGGAUCUCUUCUCGCGAUAUCAGAGUCACAUCUCCUAGGACAAGAUUCUCAUCAUGAGAGAAUCUGAAGUUCAAGCAGUUGUACUGACAGUUUUAAAACUCCACUUGUCUGGCGACACUAGAGCCUCUCGAGACGGUGGUAACUUACACUUGAGCAGUAGCCCCAGACUUCAAGACAGUUCAACUUGAAGUUUCAAAACUUCUUCGAGGGAAAAUCCUUGUCGGGCAUGCUUUAAAGAAUGAC